Long non-coding RNA from Tyto alba (common barn owl), 1004 nucleotides. RefSeq lists it as uncharacterized. The record is from RefSeq and is a predicted model, not a curated record. Lineage: Eukaryota; Metazoa; Chordata; Aves; Strigiformes; Tytonidae. The transcript is spliced from 2 exons.
UUGGGUGUGCUACCUUUUAAUUUCAGAACUUCAAAGAAAUGCAUCUCUGCUUUUAAAUGUGCUGCAAAUCUCCACCCCUGCUGUUGUGGAAAGUACAUCUUCUAGCUGUUUCCCUUACUGACAAAAACCAAAAUAAAGCAACAUGUGUGCAAGGACGAGAUUUCAUUGAUCCUGUACAACACAGAGAAGAAUUGCCACACUGGGAUUUGGGAGGGACAGGAUAAAAGAAAAUAAAAUGCCAUGUAGGCUGAGCAGGGAAGGUAGUUAACUGUCAUAAAUUUCUGAAGACAAGAUCUCUCCAGAUCUGGGUUCAUCUAGUGAACCCUUCGCUGACUCUAGUCCUAAAGAUCAAAGAGUGGUGGAUUAAGUAGCAUGUAUUCUGCAGUGGCGUGCUGCUGGGGAUUAGCUGAAGAAGAAUCACCUAAAUAAAAGGUCAGAGUGCCACAGAACAAUUCUGACUGCAAGGGACCUUGGGAAGUCCUAGUCCAACCCGCUGUUCAGGGCUGGACCAACUUCAGUGUAAGAUCAGGUUGCUCAGGGCGAUGCCUAGUUGAAUUUUGAAUGUCUCCAAGGAUGGCAAUCCCACCUCCUUUCAGGAAGUCUAUGCCAGUGUUUAACCUCUGUAAUGGUGGACUUUUCCUUCCUUAUAUAUAAUUGGAAUUGCCCUUCCAGCAAAUUUUUGUGCCUACCCCAUCCAUGUAGCUUUUCGUCCUUUUGUUGUAUGUUCCUGAGAAACAUCUGACUCCAUCUUCUUUAGGUUGUUGAAGACAGCUAUAAGAUUCCAUCCCUGCCUCCUCUUCCCCUGAUGCUGUCUCUUCUCCAGGAUGAACAAAGUGAGUGUCUCAGUAUCAUCACAUACAUCAUGUGCUCUGGCUCCCUCAUCAUCUUGAACUGUAACUAAACUGGACUCACUCCAAUUGGCUGACCACUCACUUGGCGGCCCAAAACUGACCACAGUACUCUAGAUGUGGUUUCACAAAUACCAAAUAAAGGUGAAUAAUCAA